GUGAAGCAAGCAGGAAAAAGUCGGGUAAGCUGAUGGGGCUGCACACAAGUAACGUGGUAGUUAUGCUGACGGAUAUCAGACAGAGUGUGUGAAGAAGUAUGUAACCCGGUAAAGUAGUUGAAGAAAGCAUGAACAUCAGGGCAAGAAAGCAAAGUGUUCACCACUAUUGGGAGAAAGUUGAACAGGUUGAACCAAUCAACACUUUACCCCUAAUUAAGAAGUUGUUAAGCGGAAGAAUCAACCGAGCGAGAGGACACAGCACUUCAC
This 267-nucleotide non-coding RNA is filed under the name uncultured Blautia sp. RNAcentral's name for it is "RAGATH-8 RNA". It matches the Rfam family "RAGATH-8 RNA". Lineage: Bacteria; Bacillati; Bacillota; Clostridia; Lachnospirales; Lachnospiraceae. The record is from RNAcentral.